Molecule: transfer RNA, 74 nt
Filed under: Virgisporangium aurantiacum
Lineage: Bacteria; Bacillati; Actinomycetota; Actinomycetes; Micromonosporales; Micromonosporaceae
Description: tRNA-Thr
Source: RNAcentral
CGGCUGCGUGGCCGGCUGGGUGGCCGGCGGCUGGUUCCCGCCGUUGGCGGGCGGCUGGGCUCCGCCGUUGGCGG